AUUGAACGCUGGCGGCAGGCCUAACACAUGCAAGUCGAGCGGCAGCGACUUAACUGAACCUUCGGGGAACGUUAAGGGCGGCGAGCGGCGGACGGGUGAGUAAUGCCUGGGAAUAUGCCCUGAUGUGGGGGAUAACUAUUGGAAACGAUAGCUAAUACCGCAUAAUCUCUUCGGAGCAAAGAGGGGGACCUUCGGGCCUCUCGCGUCAGGAUUAGCCCAGGUGGGAUUAGCUUGUUGGUGAGGUAAUGGCUCACCAAGGCAACGAUCCCUAGCUGGUCUGAGAGGAUGAUCAGCCACACUGGAACUGAGACACGGUCCAGACUCCUACGGGAGGCAGCAGUGGGGAAUAUUGCACAAUGGGGGAAACCCUGAUGCAGCCAUGCCGCGUGUGUGAAGAAGGCCUUCGGGUUGUAAAGCACUUUCAGUAGGGAGGAAGGUAGUGUAGUUAACACCUGCAUUAUUUGACGUUACCUACAGAAGAAGCACCGGCUAACUCCGUGCCAGCAGCCGCGGUAAUACGGAGGGUGCGAGCGUUAAUCGGAAUUACUGGGCGUAAAGCGCAUGCAGGCGGCCUGUUAAGUCAGAUGUGAAAGCCCGGGGCUUAACCUCGGAAUUGCAUUUGAAACUGGCAGGCUAGAGUCUUGUAGAGGGGGGUAGAAUUUCAGGUGUAGCGGUGAAAUGCGUAGAGAUCUGAAGGAAUACCAGUGGCGAAACGGCCCCCUGGACAAAGACUGACGCUCAGAUGCGAAAGCGUGGGGAGCAAACAGG
Molecule: ribosomal RNA, 768 nt
Filed under: uncultured bacterium
Lineage: Bacteria
Description: bacterial SSU rRNA
Rfam family: Bacterial small subunit ribosomal RNA
Source: RNAcentral